Non-coding RNA from Zootoca vivipara (common lizard), 6679 nucleotides. Lineage: Eukaryota; Metazoa; Chordata; Lepidosauria; Squamata; Lacertidae. The record is from RefSeq and is a predicted model, not a curated record.
AGUAUGAUCGACAGCGACCAAGAUGGCGGCGCCCACUGUUAUUCCGGAUACCGUCAGUGUUCGAAAGGCUGUGUCCCUCAUCAAUGCUAUAGACACGGGAAGGUUCUCUCGGUUGCUCUCCCGCAUCCUUCAGAAGCUUCACCUAAAGACUGAGAGUACUUUCACAGAAGAGGAGGAAGAAAAGCUUCAAGUCGCUUUUUCAAUGGAGAAGCAAGAUCUUCAUCUUGUCCUUGAAACCAUUGCAUUCAUUUUGGAACAGGCUGUGUAUCACAACUUGAAGCCAACUGUUCUGCAGCAGCAGUUGGAGCAUUCCAAAGUGGAUCACGACAGAGCAGAAGUGUUUGCCACCACAUGGGCUGCUGCAGGUCCAGAGACAGUGGAAAAGUUCAGACAGAGGACUUUGUCACCUCAGAAGCUUGAGUCUGUUGGAUGGCAGCUUAACCUACAGAUGGCUCAAUCAACCCAAGCAAAACAAAAAUCUCCUCAAGCUGUUUUAGAACUUGGAAUGAGCAAUGAAGAUUCAAAGAUGAACUUCAUCAACUUGUGGGACAGCCAGCAAUGCUCCUGCAGAUUAUAUUGUUGAGUAAAACUUCCAUGCAGCAGCUGAUGCAUGAACAUGGAGAAAGUGUUUGUGGAAUUCAGUCAUCAAGAGCUGUUUGAGUUCUAUAACAAGUUGGAGACUAUACAAGCACAGCUGGAUUCUCUUACAUGAUACUGUGUGAAGACUUAAUUUCUCCCAUCACAUUCCUCUCACUUCAGUAUUGAAGAUAACUUGGCUGGCAGUGUUUGCUGAAAUGCUUAGUUGGCUGUUGUCGAUAAAUGGCUUAUCUCUUCUUUGGCCAGUAACUUAAAUUAAAUCAUUGAUAGGAAAACUGAAUUUCUAAUUGACUUAAUCUCCUCGGAGUUCCCAGUGUUCCAAGAACAUGUAUCAUUGAGGGGCAGGGUAUGGGCUACCUUGUUUUGCUGUUCUUUGAAUUACUUUGGAAUAUAUUGUGUCGAUUUUGGUUUUGGUGACGUUUCUGCAGAGAAGAUGGUAACUUAAAUAUUGGUGGUCCAUAAAUGAAAUGUGUAUUGUUACUGUUUUCUAAGACUGUAACCUAUUCAAAAAUUCUAUUUUUAGUGGGGAAACUCCCCAGACUAGGUGGGUGAAGGUCUUGCUUACUUUCUUACCCAACUAACAAUGAAUCCAAGUAUAGUCCACACAAGCUUUUGAACCCUGCAUAUGCAGAUCCCAGUCAGGGAUAGUCCCUACUUCUGCUCUCCUAGUUUAUAAUCAAAAUGGAGAAAUCUAGAAAUUUUAAGGACAGAUUUAGUUUGAGGCACAGUUUUGGUCAAGCACAUGAGAUGGCCUUUUCUUGCUUUUCUCCAGGUUUCAUAGAUUUGAUACUCUGACAACAUUUAUCUUUUUACUGUGCCUAUACACCCACCUGUUCUUCCUUCAGAUUGGUCUUUUGUGUGAUUUCCAGGCCUUCUCCCACUUAAGGCAGUAGCCAGGACCAGACUCCUCAAAUCUAGCUUGUAUAUUUCAAUACCACUAUUCUUUAAGACUAUGCCUAUUCAAGAGCCUUAGUUCUGCUAAUGGAGAUGAUUUUCUCUCUCUUAUUCCUUAGCUAAUGAAUAAUGACAACUAUAUCCACCUGUAUGCUAUCGUUCCCACCCUUUACCAUGAGGUCCCAGGGUAGGUUACAACUAUUUAAAAAUACAGUGUUAAAAACCCCCAGUUAAAACAGAUUACAAUCAAUAGAAUAGGGUGCAUCUUAAAAUAUAUAUCUCAGGUGUCAAAGGCAACAGUAAGGAGGUGUGCUUUAAGCAUUUGGCAAGAAUUAUACAAUGAAGAUGACAGAUACGUGUGUGUGUGUGUGUGUGUGUGUGUGUAGGGGGGAUUCUGCAAUGUAGGGACUGCUGGAGGGAAUGUCUUCUCCUUAUCUCCCAGGGGAAAAACCUUCUGAAGGUGGUAGAACUACAAAGUGUGUCCUCUCUGCCGAUGUUGGCACCCUAAACUCCUACCCAACCUAGUGGCAAGUCAGCUUGCCAAAGUUCAAAGACCAGGGGUCAAUCUACACAGUCGAAGUCUAACCUGAAGCACAGACCCAUAGAGCGCCAGGCACAUCCAAGCCAAGGUCCACCAACAUGGGCAGACACAGCGCCUCUGCUCUGCUGCCCUUUUAUACCUUGCAUGCUGAUUGCAGCAUCUGGACUUGAUGAGGCUUGUGACCCUCACCUGUUCCAAGCCUACUGCAGCUGAGGAAUCAUACCUCCCAAAGCUAGCGAGCUCCACCUGGCCAGCUAGGGAGCUGGGCUGUGGGCCCUGGCCUGCCUCAGUCUCCUGGAUCACCCCUCCUGCUGCCCCCUAUGCCUUAGAGCCUGCCAUGUUCAUGGAGAAAGGGGUCCUUCUGGCUCGGGUGAUGGGUCCUGCUGCUCUGGUUCCUGUGCACUGACCUUCAUCCCCUUACCAUUCUCCAUCACCCCGUGAGUACUUCUUUCCCUAUUCUCUGUAUGUCCUGGUGUGUCCCAGUCCUGGCUACCCCCCUUUGCCAGGAUCCCAUUCCUCCCCCCUGUCGUCUUACCAGUUCAUGACAGUCUGUAGUCUUUUAGAUGCAUAGGGCUUGUUGCUGUAACCGCUAAUGGUCUGCUGGUCUGGGAAGGAAUAAGAUGCUUGUAUGGUAUAUUAUUGAGCAGGGACAGGGACCUAUUUUUAAACCUAUGAGCUUCAUGCUCCUCUGGGCAGCCUGCCAGGGACCAUGUGCGUUUGGUAAGUGUGGCCAGACACAAAAGCAGCCAGAGCAAUAAAUGUAAAUUUCACCUUCGUGCAGAUUGGUUUCUACACACCUACCCUCUCGAUCCUCCAUGCAGGCAGGCAAGAGGCAUUAUCAAGCUUUCAAGGACACAUUCAAACCAGGCAAAAAGGACUUGGGAUGCAAAUAGAACCAGUGAGCAGUGUGGCUUGGGGGCAUACCAAUGGCUUCGUAGAAAGACAGGGAGGGCCACAUUUCCCCAGGCCUGAGGUUCCCUAUUGCAACACAUGCAAGAAACAAAGAAGGAGCAAAGCUGGACUCAAAUCCCCAUCCCAACAUACAGCUAUUUCUCAGGUUUGUAGAGAAUUUUAUGUGAUAAGGUGUUUACACACUCUACCCUGUGUCUGCUAUCUGAAGUCAAACAGUUAAGCAAAAGGUUGUGCACAGCAGUCCUCAUUUACUUGUUACUUACUGCAUAGUUGGAGGAACUGGAGAUGGAGAGAAGGGUUAAUUUCCUUCAUGAGUUUAAUCCCUCAUGUACGAGAUAAGCUAACAGGUGCAAGGUCAGCCAAGCCAGUUGCUAUGACAGCGGUCGAGUGCCAUCUAUAUUAGUGAUAUGUCCGGUCAGUGAGUCCUCCCGUGAGUCAGGAGUCUGUGUUACGUCUUGAAUUGUGGGAGCAACAGAAAUGUUUUCUACUUAUCUGUAUCUCUGUCUGCAAAGCCUACAAGGUGUGUGUGUGUGUGUGUGUGUCACAGAAUUGUUGAGUUGGAACGGACCCUGAGGGUCUAGUCCAGGCAUCCCCAAACUCAGCCCUCCAGAUGCUUUGGGACUACAACUCCCAUCAUCCCUAGCUAACAGGACCAGUGGUCAGGGAUGAUGGGAAUUGUAGUCCCAAAACAUCUGGAGGGCCGAGUUUGGGGAUGCCUGGUCUAGUCCAACCCUCUACAGUGCAGGUAUCCUGCCCACAUUGUCAACAUCAGGAAAUGUGCUACUGAAGCCUAACCUUUUGCAGCAGUAAACUAUUUUGGACCUUAAGCUGCUUCUGUGUAGUGACUGGAACUGGGGGGGGAACUUUCACUGUGUGAGUUUCUUGCCUCUGAUUCUCCACCACCAUAGCCCAGUAGUAGGGCAUAUGCUUUCGAGGGAGGCGAUCCCAGUCCCUGCUAUCUCUGGCGAAAAGGAUUAGGUAGUCAGGGGAAAGAGCUUUGGGCCUUAAACCGCAGAGAGCUGCUGUCGGUCAGAGUAUACAGUACUGGCCUGCAUGGAUGAAUAGUCGCACCUUGGUUAAGACAGCUUCCUAGGUUCUUAUUUAUUAGUGCAUAUUAACUCCCAACCUAUGCAUAACAAUUUCCCUUAGAGAUGGCAUGGCACAUUGCCAUCAACUUACCGUUGUCUUUUAGUAAUUGAUGUGAGGUUAGUUGGCUAAUUAAAUAGGAUGGUAGUAACAUGGCUACUGUUUUAAGUAUCUAAAUAUGAUUCAGCUCUGUGGAAGAAAGGAGGAGGAUGGGAUGUAAUGUUGGAGAAGCAGAGCAGAUACUGUGUCCUACAGAUACAUGGGCAUUUACAACAGAGCUGAAGCAAAAAAACAAAAAAAGAAUGUGCUGAACUGUAACUAUGAAUCAUUUCCAGAUUUUGCAAUGAUUUAUGUUCCAGGCUCAACUUACAUCUCCUGAAAAGCCAUCAGCAGUGUUUUUGCAUUUAGUAGGCAGGAGUAUAAAAUCUCAAUUUACUGGUGACUUUAAUUUCCUGCUAAGAGGUAUAUGGUUCAUGAUCAAAAGUAAGAUAAUAUAACCUGAAGUCACUGAGUGGAUUAUAUGAUUCUUCGCAGUGAUAAGGAUGCCAGAUAUGUGUACCAUUUUGCGUGCUUUGCGUUCGUUUGUUUUUAUGUUGCGAACCACCCUGAGAUCUGCGGAUGAAGGGCAGUACACACAUUUAAUAAAAAAUAUUAAUAAUAAUAAUAAUAAUAAUAAUAAUAAUACCAUAGAGCUGGAGACAAUUCCAUACUUCCUGGGCAUGCAGUAUUGAUCCAUAAUACACCCUUUACAUAUUCUGCGAAGAUGCUGAUAUUGUAAUUCCCUACAUUGUCCCAACCUAACCUAAUGGGUGCUCUUACUAAUUUCUGCCUGAGUUGAGGGUCAAAGCAGAUGAGAAGCCAUUCACACUACUCUCAGUUGUGUGAAUGACUUAGAAGUAAUUAGCAGGCACAAAGCUCCCCCCCCCCAAAAAAAUCUGGAAGUGGAUGCCAACCCAGUGUGACUAUGGGGUGGGGUGGUGCUAAUUCCUCUGUGCUGUGGUCAAGAUCAAAAACAACCGCACUGCAAACCUGCUUAUUUGCAAAUGAAGAAACGGCCCAUUCACAUCGAUGGAAGCUUUUCUUCCAGUGUAAAUAGCAGGCAUGAUGCUCCUGAUCAGGACCACAGCAGGGGGCAAAAAGGCAAUUCCCCCUGCCACCCAUACCAUGGUCUCAAUUGGGAUCUUCCUCCCCUCUGCUGCCCAGCUCCUGCUAUUUUAUUUUAAAGAGAUAUUUACACUAUUUCUAAUUGUAUAAAUGGUGCCUUGUCUGUUUUAGCCAGGACAUUUGAUGAAACAGUGGCAUUUGUUCCAGUAUUCACUGAUGACCAUAAAAUGAUAACAAUCUCUCUCUCUUUGUUUUUUUCUGUGUUACGGUGCUCUCUGAAAGAUAUAGGAAAAGUGGCAUUAUGCCUAAAUGACAUUUCAGUGCGAUUCAGAGUAUAUUUCUCUGAAGUUGGAAAGUUCAGGCUGGAAUUCAUUUGGAUUUCUUCAAUCUAUAAAAACAAGGGGGAUAAGGGUUUGGAUACAGUGGGGCAUUUCACAAUAUCUCAGUUUAGACAACUUGUUUUGUUUUGGUAAAAUGAUUCCAGAAUAGAUACAUAUGGAAUGAUGUUUUCCUAAUAUACUCUGUUAAAACAAUUCAAAACAUUCACAUGCAACCUUACUGCCUGUUAUUUCUUCUGAUUUCAAUUGCAUCUCUUAACAAACCGUUCAGAAAACCUCCCUCAGUCAAGUGUGUUUAAUACAGGAGCUGUUUCUCCAGGUGGGCCAGGUUAGGAGAAGCUCAGCACUUCAGAUAGAUUGUUUUUCCAUUUAAAUGGAUUGCAGGCCAGUUCUGGGAUCACUUAGGCCAGUGUUGGCUUGCUAGUUCUCUCCUGGUGCCCUUUUCCUGGUUGUUUCCUUUGCUUAGAAAUCCUGAUCUUCAAGAUAUCUUUUCCACCAGAGGCUUCCCUGAAUUCAUAGAAUCAAAGAAUUUUAGAGUUGACUCUACUAAGACCCCUAGACCCCUUUUUACUGGCAAACCAGGUGUUCCCCAUCUUAUAUUUGUGCUGCUGGUUAUUCCUGCCAAAGUGCAGAACCUUGCAUUUGUCCCUAAUCAAAUUCAUUUUGCUAGUUUUGGCUCAGUUCUCCAAUCUGUUAAGGUCAUCUUCAAACCUGUCUUCUGCGACAUUGGCUAUCUCUCCCAGUUUGGUGCCAUCUGCAAAUUUAAUGUUUCCUGUUUUGCUGGCCUGUGAGAACCAAAAUGAAGCCCGCUAGAAUUAUGACCCAUGAAAUGCUGGUAUUUGGUGCCUUGGAGAGUGCAGUUUUAGAGUCUUCAGUGAUCUGCUGCUUGUGAAAUGAAACUAAAUGAGAACAUACCAGGUUCUAGGAUAACUGAGCCAUUAAGUUGUGCUGCCAUAUUUAACAGGAUAAAAUUCAAAGGGCGGGGGAACCAAUUGGAAGAGUUUAGAAGUGUGAGGAGAACCGAAAAUAAAUCUGAAGAACUGGUGCUACUAAGAUUAAUGGCAACAUAAUAAGAAAGUCAUAUAUUACAAAGUAAAAUAUAAAAAUGCUCCACUCUGGAAUGUAUUAAGAAUAGUGAGAGAACGUCAUUGUAAUAUAAAAUCAUUCCAUAACAACUCUAAUAAUUAUUUAUGAAAUACCUCUACCC